RNAcentral lists this ribosomal RNA (512 nucleotides) under uncultured bacterium. Its description in RNAcentral is "partial 16S ribosomal RNA". It matches the Rfam family "Bacterial small subunit ribosomal RNA", at positions 28 to 523 of the family's 1533-position model. The record is from RNAcentral.
GAUGAACGCUGGCGGCGUGCCUAAUACAUGCAAGUCGAGCGAACAGACGAGGAGCUUGCUCCUCUGACGUUAGCGGCGGACGGGUGAGUAACACGUGGAUAACCUACCUAUAAGACUGGGAUAACUUCGGGAAACCGGAGCUAAUACCGGAUAAUAUAUUGAACCGCAUGGUUCAAUAGUGAAAGACGGUUUUGCUGUCACUUAUAGAUGGAUCCGCGCCGCAUUAGCUAGUUGGUAAGGUAACGGCUACCAAGGCAACGAUGCGUAGCCGACCUGAGAGGGUGAUCGGCCACACUGGAACUGAGACACGGUCCAGACUCCUACGGGAGGCAGCAGUAGGGAAUCUUCCGCAAUGGGCGAAAGCCUGACGGAGCAACGCCGCGUGAGUGAUGAGGGUCUUCGGAUCGUAAAACUCUGUUAUUAGGGAAGAACAAAUGUGUAAGUAACUAUGCACGUCUUGACGGUACCUAAUCAGAAAGCCACGGCUAACUACGUGCCAGCAGCCGCCGUAA